GGUUAAGCGACUAAGCGUACACGGUGGAUGCCCUGGCAGUCAGAGGCGAUGAAGGACGUGCUAAUCUGCGAUAAGCGUCGGUGAGGUGAUAUGAACCGUUAUAACCGGCGAUUUCCGAAUGGGGAAACCCAGUGUGUUUCGACACACUAUCAUUAACUGAAUCCAUAGGUUAAUGAGGCGAACCGGGGGAACUGAAACAUCUAAGUACCCCGAGGAAAAGAAAUCAACCGAGAUUCCCCCAGUAGCGGCGAGCGAACGGGGAGCAGCCCAGAGCCUGAAUCAGUGUGUGUGUUAGUGGAAGCGUCUGGAAAGGCGCGCGAUACAGGGUGACAGCCCCGUACACAAAAAUGCACAUACUGUGAGCUCGAUGAGUAGGGCGGGACACGUGGUAUCCUGUCUGAAUAUGGGGGGACCAUCCUCCAAGGCUAAAUACUCCUGACUGACCGAUAGUGAACCAGUACCGUGAGGGAAAGGCGAAAAGAACCCCGGCGAGGGGAGUGAAAAAGAACCUGAAACCGUGUACGUACAAGCAGUGGGAGCCUCUUAAUGGGGUGACUGCGUACCUUUUGUAUAAUGGGUCAGCGACUUAUAUUCUGUAGCAAGGUUAACCGAAUAGGGGAGCCGAAGGGAAACCGAGUCUUAACUGGGCGUUAAGUUGCAGGGUAUAGACCCGAAACCCGGUGAUCUAGCCAUGGGCAGGUUGAAGGUUGGGUAACACUAACUGGAGGACCGAACCGACUAAUGUUGAAAAAUUAGCGGAUGACUUGUGGCUGGGGGUGAAAGGCCAAUCAAACCGGGAGAUAGCUGGUUCUCCCCGAAAGCUAUUUAGGUAGCGCCUCGUGAAUUCAUCUCCGGGGGUAGAGCACUGUUUCGGCAAGGGGGUCAUCCCGACUUACCAACCCGAUGCAAACUGCGAAUACCGGAGAAUGUUAUCACGGGAGACACACGGCGGGUGCUAACGUCCGUCGUGAAGAGGGAAACAACCCAGACCGCCAGCUAAGGUCCCAAAGUCAUGGUUAAGUGGGAAACGAUGUGGGAAGGCCCAGACAGCCAGGAUGUUGGCUUAGAAGCAGCCAUCAUUUAAAGAAAGCGUAAUAGCUCACUGGUCGAGUCGGCCUGCGCGGAAGAUGUAACGGGGCUAAACCAUGCACCGAAGCUGCGGCAGCGACACUAUGUGUUGUUGGGUAGGGGAGCGUUCUGUAAGCCUGUGAAGGUGUACUGUGAGGUAUGCUGGAGGUAUCAGAAGUGCGAAUGCUGACAUAAGUAACGAUAAAGCGGGUGAAAAGCCCGCUCGCCGGAAGACCAAGGGUUCCUGUCCAACGUUAAUCGGGGCAGGGUGAGUCGACCCCUAAGGCGAGGCCGAAAGGCGUAGUCGAUGGGAAACAGGUUAAUAUUCCUGUACUUGGUGUUACUGCGAAGGGGGGACGGAGAAGGCUAUGUUGGCCGGGCGACGGUUGUCCCGGUUUAAGCGUGUAGGCUGGUUUUCCAGGCAAAUCCGGAAAAUCAAGGCUGAGGCGUGAUGACGAGGCACUACGGUGCUGAAGCAACAAAUGCCCUGCUUCCAGGAAAAGCCUCUAAGCAUCAGGUAACAUCAAAUCGUACCCCAAACCGACACAGGUGGUCAGGUAGAGAAUACCAAGGCGCUUGAGAGAACUCGGGUGAAGGAACUAGGCAAAAUGGUGCCGUAACUUCGGGAGAAGGCACGCUGAUAUGUAGGUGAAGUCCCUCGCGGAUGGAGCUGAAAUCAGUCGAAGAUACCAGCUGGCUGCAACUGUUUAUUAAAAACACAGCACUGUGCAAACACGAAAGUGGACGUAUACGGUGUGACGCCUGCCCGGUGCCGGAAGGUUAAUUGAUGGGGUUAGCGGUAACGCGAAGCUCUUGAUCGAAGCCCCGGUAAACGGCGGCCGUAACUAUAACGGUCCUAAGGUAGCGAAAUUCCUUGUCGGGUAAGUUCCGACCUGCACGAAUGGCGUAAUGAUGGCCAGGCUGUCUCCACCCGAGACUCAGUGAAAUUGAACUCGCUGUGAAGAUGCAGUGUACCCGCGGCAAGACGGAAAGACCCCGUGAACCUUUACUAUAGCUUGACACUGAACAUUGAGCCUUGAUGUGUAGGAUAGGUGGGAGGCUUUGAAGUGUGGACGCCAGUCUGCAUGGAGCCGGCCUUGAAAUACCACCCUUUAAUGUUUGAUGUUCUAACGUUGGCCCCUGAUCGGGGUUGCGGACAGUGUCUGGUGGGUAGUUUGACUGGGGCGGUCUCCUCCUAAAGAGUAACGGAGGAGCACGAAGGUUGGCUAAUCCUGGUCGGACAUCAGGAGGUUAGUGCAAUGGCAUAAGCCAGCUUGACUGCGAGCGUGACGGCGCGAGCAGGUGCGAAAGCAGGUCAUAGUGAUCCGGUGGUUCUGAAUGGAAGGGCCAUCGCUCAACGGAUAAAAGGUACUCCGGGGAUAACAGGCUGAUACCGCCCAAGAGUUCAUAUCGACGGCGGUGUUUGGCACCUCGAUGUCGGCUCAUCACAUCCUGGGGCUGAAGUAGGUCCCAAGGGUAUGGCUGUUCGCCAUUUAAAGUGGUACGCGAGCUGGGUUUAGAACGUCGUGAGACAGUUCGGUCCCUAUCUGCCGUGGGCGCUGGAGAACUGAGGGGGGCUGCUCCUAGUACGAGAGGACCGGAGUGGACGCAUCACUGGUGUUCGGGUUGUCAUGCCAAUGGCACUGCCCGGUAGCUAAAUGCGGAAGAGAUAAGUGCUGAAAGCAUCUAAGCACGAAACUUGCCCCGAGAUGAGUUCUCCCUGACUCCUUGAGAGUCCUGAAGGAACGUUGAAGACGACGACGUUGAUAGGCCGGGUGUGUAAGCGCAGCGAUGCGUUGAGCUAACCGGUACUAAUGAACCGUGAGGCUUAACCUU
RNAcentral lists this ribosomal RNA (2904 nucleotides) under Escherichia coli. RNAcentral's name for it is "23S ribosomal RNA". It matches the Rfam family "Bacterial large subunit ribosomal RNA". The record is from RNAcentral. Lineage: Bacteria; Pseudomonadati; Pseudomonadota; Gammaproteobacteria; Enterobacterales; Enterobacteriaceae.